RNAcentral lists this ribosomal RNA (464 nucleotides) under uncultured bacterium. Its description in RNAcentral is "partial 16S ribosomal RNA". It matches the Rfam family "Bacterial small subunit ribosomal RNA", at positions 339 to 795 of the family's 1533-position model. The record is from RNAcentral.
CUACGGGUGGCAGCAGUGGGGAAUAUUGCACAAUGGGCGCAAGCCUGAUGCAGCCAUGCCGCGUGUAUGAAGAAGGCCUUCGGGUUGUAAAGUACUUUCAGCGGGGAGGAAGGGAGUAAAGUUAAUACCUUUGCUCAUUGACGUUACCCGCAGAAGAAGCACCGGCUAACUCCGUGCCAGCAGCCGCGGUAAUACGGAGGGUGCAAGCGGUAAUCGGAAUUACUGGGCGUAAAGCGCACGCAGGCGGUUUGUUAAGUCAGAUGUGAAAUCCCCGGGCUCAACCUGGGAACUGCAUCUGAUACUGGCAAGCUUGAGUCUCGUAGAGGGGGGUAGAAUUCCAGGUGUAGCGGUGAGAUGCGUAGAGAUCUGGAGGAAUACCGGUGGCGAAGGCGGCCCCCUGGACGAAGACUGACGCUCAGGUGCGAAAGCGUGGGGAGCAAACAGGAUUAGAUACCCCCGUAGUC